This 208-nucleotide long non-coding RNA is filed under the name Lathyrus oleraceus (garden pea). RNAcentral's name for it is "Pisum sativum (pea) long non-coding RNA (PSAT_LNC027502)". Lineage: Eukaryota; Viridiplantae; Streptophyta; Magnoliopsida; Fabales; Fabaceae. The record is from RNAcentral.
UGUGAUCCGUCUGAUCUGUCAGGUCAAUUAAUGAACUGGAUCCAACGCCUCUCCUUUUUUAUUAUUUUUAAUUCUGAUUUCUAUUUUUUUUAUUUCUUUUAAUUCCAUUUUAUUUCUAAAAUUCAUAUCUCUCUUAUUAUUGGUCCAAAAAUUAUGGGACCAAUUGCAUUAUUUCUCUUUUAAUUUCUAGUUUCUAAAAAUGAUUUUU